GGGGUGUUAGGGCACGACACCGGAGAGGGAGCCUGAGAAACGGCUACCACAUCCAAGGAUGGCAGCAGGCGCGCAAAUUACCCAAUCCCGACACGGGGAGGUAGUGACAAUAAAUAACAAUACGGGGUUCUUUAGGAUCUCGUAAUUGGAAUGAGUACAAUUUAAAUCUCUUAACGAGGAACGAUUGGRGGGGCAAGUCUGGUGCCAGCAGCCGCGGUAAUUCCAGCUCCAAUAGCGUAUAUUAAAGUUGUUGCAGUUAAAAAGCUCGUAGUUGAAUUUCGGGGUUAGUAGGUUGGUCAUGCCUCUGGUGUGUACUGAUCUCACUGAUUCCUCCUUCCUGAUGAACCUUAAUGCCAUUAAUUUGGUGUUUUGGGGAAUUUGGACUGUUACUUUGAAAAAAUUAGAGUGUUUAAAGCAAGCUAACGCUUGAAUACAUUAGCAUGGAAUAAUGAAAUAGGACGUUCGAUCCUAUUUUGUUGGUUUCUAGGAUUGACGUAAUGAUUAAUAGGGAUAGUUGGGGGCAUUAGUAUUCAAUUGUCAGAGGUGAAAUUCUUGGAUUUAUUGAAGACUAACUACUGCGAAAGCAUUUGCCAAGGAUGUCUUCAUUAAUCAAGAACGAAAGUUAGGGAUCGAAGACGAUCAGAUACCGUCGUAGUCUUAACCAUAAACUAUGCCGACUAGGGAUCGGAUGAUGUUAAUUUUUUAAUGACUCAUUCGGCGCCUACGGAACAG
This 732-nucleotide ribosomal RNA is filed under the name uncultured Rhizophagus. RNAcentral's name for it is "SSU rRNA". It matches the Rfam family "Eukaryotic small subunit ribosomal RNA", at positions 366 to 1108 of the family's 1831-position model. The record is from RNAcentral. Lineage: Eukaryota; Fungi; Glomeromycota; Glomeromycetes; Glomerales; Glomeraceae.